GAUCAUGGCUCAGGAUGAACGCUAGCGACAGGCUUAACACAUGCAAGUCGAGGGGCAGCACAGGUAGCAAUACCGGGUGGCGACCGGCGCACGGGUGAGUAACGCGUAUGCAACUUGCCUAUCAGAGGGGGAUAACCCGGCGAAAGUCGGACUAAUACCGCAUGAAGCAGGGAUCCCGCAUGGGAAAUAUUUGCUAAAGAUUCAUCGCUGAUAGAUAGGCAUGCG
Molecule: ribosomal RNA, 225 nt
Filed under: uncultured bacterium
Lineage: Bacteria
Description: partial 16S ribosomal RNA
Rfam family: Bacterial small subunit ribosomal RNA
Source: RNAcentral